UUCUGUAUGAUUCUCAGUGCUUUCCAUUUGCGUGUCCACAGGUUGCUGUAAGUGGUGCUUGACUGCAGUUUGCUCUCAUUUCAAGUGGUUUGCUGUCACAAAGCCAACAGGAAGUCCGGCCAUGGUUGAGCCAACUGAAGAUGGGUUGAAGGUGGCGUCCUCGUUUCCUCUCGAUACAUGUUGGAAAAUGGAGACUUUAGCCACCAAGACUGACGUGCCUGGAAACUUCCCUUCACGGGGUUUGUGACUGAAAUGCGUGUGGUCGACGGGAAGCCUGACGAGUACGGCCUGAAUCAUUCCAUCAACACCGGACGGAGUGAAACCUUUGUUGAAAACAGAUUAUAUGGUAACGUUGCAUUUAGCUUCAGUAAACUGUGAAGUUACAGCAGCAGAUUUACAUCACGUGGCUUCACAGGAAGUAGUCUGGACCUCAGCGCUGAGGUUCAAGCAGCUCUGCUUGCAGACGGCAUCCUUCCUGAAAAUGUUCUUCAUCUUCCUCAAACCAGAACUUUUACAUUGGUGCUGAAGUUCUAUAUAAAAACAGCCUGAAAUACAAAGUGAUGUUGUGCACUGAUUACCUCACACUUUCCAUGUUUCCUUCUACAGAGGAGUGUCCGCCUGAGUGUUUUGUCUGAUCUGUUGUUGAUCGUCUCAUUGACACUGCAUGCAGAUCUGACACCAGGGCUGGACUGGGACAAAAAAUGGUCCCGGGCAUUUUGACUGGA
Non-coding RNA from Maylandia zebra (zebra mbuna), 725 nucleotides. The record is from RefSeq and is a predicted model, not a curated record. Lineage: Eukaryota; Metazoa; Chordata; Actinopteri; Cichliformes; Cichlidae.